RNAcentral lists this transfer RNA (33 nucleotides) under Causonis trifolia. RNAcentral describes it as "partial tRNA-His". The record is from RNAcentral. RNAcentral also lists the same sequence under 2 other names. Lineage: Eukaryota; Viridiplantae; Streptophyta; Magnoliopsida; Vitales; Vitaceae.
GGGGCGGAUGUAGCCAAGUGGAUCAAGGCAGUG